RNAcentral lists this ribosomal RNA (496 nucleotides) under uncultured bacterium. RNAcentral describes it as "partial 16S ribosomal RNA". It matches the Rfam family "Bacterial small subunit ribosomal RNA", at positions 29 to 507 of the family's 1533-position model. The record is from RNAcentral.
AUGAACGCUGGCGGCGUGCCUAAUACCUGCAAGUCGCGCGAACAGACGAGGAGCUUGCUCCUUCGACGUUAGCGGCGGACGGGUGAGUAACACGUAGGUAACCUACCUAUAAGACUGGGAUAACUUCGGGAAACCGGAGCUAAUACCGGAUAAUAUUUCGAACCGCAUGGUUCGAUAGUGAAAGAUGGCUUUGCUAUCACUUAUAGAUGGACCUGCGCCGUAUUAGCUAGUUGGUAAGGUAACGGCUUACCAAGGCAACGAUACGUAGCCGACCUGAGAGGGUGAUCGGCCACACUGGAACUGAGACACGGUCCAGACUCCUACGGGAGGCAGCAGUAGGGAAUCUUCCGCAAUGGGCGAAAGCCUGACGGAGCAACGCCGCGUGAGUGAUGAAGGUCUUCGGAUCGUAAAACUCUGUUAUUAGGGAAGAACAAACGUGUAAGUAACUGUGCACGUCUUGACGGUACCUAAUCAGAAAGCCACGGCUAACUACGUG